UCUUGGUCUUCUGCGAGAACAAAGUCGACGUGGACACCAUCCAAGAGUAUCUCCUUUACAAGGGAGUCGAAGCCGUCUCGAUCCACGGAGACAAAGACCAAGCCGACCGAGAGGAAGCGAUCAAAUUCUUCAAAGCGGGGAAAAAGGACGUCCUGGUCGCCACGGAUGUUGCCUCGAAGGGUUUGGAUUUCCCCGACAUCCAGCACGUCAUCAACUACGACAUGCCGGCGGAGAUUGAGAACUACGUCCACAGGAUCGGACGAACCGGAAGGUGCGGCAAGACUGGGAUCGCUACGACUUUUAUUAACAAUACCCAGAGCGAGACUACGUUGCUCGAUUUGAAGCACCUGUUGCAAGAAGCUAAGCAGAGGAUCCCGCCCAUUCUGGCCGAGUUGGAUGAUCCGAUGGAGUUUGGAGACGAGAUUCAAAAUGCGAGGUGAGUUAAAGGUUGCGCUUAUUGUGGUGGUCUUGGUCAUCGCAUCGGCGAUUGCCCUAAGCUUGAGCACCAGAGUAGCCAGCAGCUUGCGAACUCCAGGAGGGAUUACUUUGGCUCUGGUGGAUAUAGGGGAGAAAUGUAAGAGAUGAUGUAGUAGUAGUAAUAUACUUUGUACCAUCUAUGCAACUCUUUUGAGCAUGUUUCAAAGUGUCCAACUCACUUUUUUUAAAUCGAUUCGGUCGAAUCCUUUCGAGUGAGUAUUAUUCGACUCGCAAUUUUGAAAUAGUAGGCUUUGUGAACACACUUUAGCUUUAUGAACUAGUCAUCUAUCUUAGUUUGGUUUUCCUUUUAGGGUAUUAACCCAAACAAUCGUGUCCGAUAGUUGAACCGAUGAGAGCAAGGGGUUGUAGACUCGUAGUUGGUCGGGCUGAGUACAUUUAAACGAUUGAUUGACCGAAUGUGAUUGGUUAAUUAAUUUUAACCGUUAACUGUAACCAAAUUGUCAACCCUCUGAGCAACGGCUAAAACGAACCAUAAUAAUAAUUAGAAGUUACAAAACCCCAGUUAAACGGUUAUGUGAUAUUGGUAUCAACUGGUUUGAAUCGGUUUAACCGGCUGGUUGAUUUUGAGAUGUUCAAAUCAUCAACUUGGCGGUAAAAAUAUAUAGUUGUGAAUAAAAGUGGCAGUCGCCGGAGCAAUUUUGAAUUUUUCACCGGCGCUGUCAAUGGGCUAACCUCUGUAUGAAUGCCGCCGUUCAACAGCAACAAGAUUGCAGAUUUUCUACGUAGUUCUUGUAGCGUUCCUCAAGUCGAGCAUCUCCAUGGUUUCCUCGUCACUUCCAGCCAAUUCCAGCACAAAGCUCCUUCGUCGUCCCUCUUUCUCCGCCGCCGUCUCCACUUCUUUGUCCACCCACCCACCACAACCAAACGAUGGAACGUCGUUAUCAGAGGCGUAUCAGAAAGUCACGGACCUUCAGCAGCUCUUGCUCAAUACCGGAAGAUGCGGCACAACAGUUUCCAUCCCGACGAGCACACGUUUCUACUGCUUCUCAAGUUGUUCUCCAAGUUGAAAGACCGAGAUCCAAUGGUUCUCUAUCCUGAAAUUAUCAAGCAUGGACUUGAUCUCGACUGCUUCGUUAGGAACUCUUUGAUUUCUUCUCUGUCAAACUACGGGAACUUGAAUUUUGCCCGCCAUGUGUUUGAUGAAAGUCCGCUGAAGGAAAUCGUGGCUUGGACUGAGAUGAUCAAAGGGAAUGUCUUCGAUGUUUCCUGACGAUGAGAUCGAUUGGUGUAAAGGUCGAUGAAUUUUCAGUCGUGAGUGCUCUCCUUGCAGCUGGAAUGAUGAAUGAUGUCUGGAUUGGGAGAUGGAUUCAUGGAUUCUACAUAGAAUCAGGCAGGGUCAAAUGGGAUGCAUUCAUCGGGAGUGGAUUGGUUGACAUGUACAUGAAAUGUAGCUACUCCAACGACGCCCGUCAAGUGUUCGACGAAAUUCUAAUAAGGAACGUUAUCUCCUGGAUCGGCUUAAUCGCUGGGUUUGUACACCUCAACAGAUACAACGAAGCAUUACUAUCCUUUCAAGAUAUGCUAAUCGACAAUGUCGAACCAAACCCUAAAACUCUAACACGCGUCCUUACAGCUUGCGCUCAACUCGGCGCAUUGGAAUAAGGCAAAUGGAUCCACGGGACAUCCUUGAUCGACAUGUACAUGAAAUGUGAUUGCAUCAACGAGGCACGUUUCAUCAUCGAUAAGUUACCAAAAAAAGGUCUAUACACUGUGGAAAUAUGUACCUGGGUUCGGCCUUGGUGUGAUGGCAGCACCAUGACUUGACCUUGGUGCGAUGCCGGAGUUGGGACGGAUGCGUGAACUCAAGGGAAACCUCACAUUAGUUCAGAGCAAGCUGGAACUAGCUGGCAUAAGCUCCUCUAUGAGCUAGGUGAUGCUAGGGAGUGACACUCAAGCUCGUCCAGCUCAACCUUGAGCUGGAUGUUAGUGUCACUAGCUACGAUGCUAAGCUGAGCUACAGUGAUGGUAGGGAGCUAGGUAGUUGGGAUGGUUACUCCUUCUCUUAUGACGAAUGGGUACACACCUCUUCGUGAGAUUCAAACUCAUUUAUGAGUUGUUUUCCCUCCAAACCCAUAGGACUUCAAGGUGGUUACCUUCUAGUCUAUCCAUGGGGACAAUGUCUCCUCUUGGUGCAUGCAUUCGUACCCCUUCAGUCCUGAACCCCUUUGCCUAUAUAAAGAAGGCAGUAGUGUGGGAGAACAUACACAAAAAACAUCUAUCCUAGUCUACGAUUCUAAGUGACUCUAGUUUCUAAAGUCUAAGAACUUGAGUGGAGACGGUCUUAUCCUCGGAAGGGAUUUCCUGAUACCCAAGGCUUGUAGGGUGGAAAUACUCUUUUCGGAAAGUGGUCUCACCACAUUAAAGGUUGUGUAUGUUCUCUUUACACCAUAUCCUCCAGAGUCUGAGGAGGAGACAAAGAUGGACAAUAAAAAGGAGGAAAGGGUACGAAAGCAACAGAAGUGGGACAAUGACGAUUACAUAUGUCGUGGCCAUAUUCUGAAUGACAUGACAGAUUCAUUGUUUGAUAUCUAUCAAAAUUAUGAAUUGAUCCAUGAGUUGUGGGAUGCGCUGGAGUCAAAGUAUUUGGCUGAGGAUGCUUCAAGCACGAAGUUCCUGGUUAUUAAUUUCUUAAAUUACAAGAUGAUCGAGACGAGACCGAUCAUGAAGCACGAAGACCCUAGUGUGAAAUUGAUGCCCAACACAAGAAUUGCAGUGUCUCUACUCGAGUACUCACAAGUGCUUGGCUGCUUGAUGUAUGCCAUGACAAGCACAAAGCCUGAGAUCGCUUAUGCGGUUGGAAAAUUGAGUAGAUAUACGAGUAAUACUAUUACUCAUCAUUGGCAUGCAAUCAGACGAGUACUUGGUUACCUUAAAGGAACCAUGGAUUAUGGUUUAACGUAUAAGGGGUGUCCAUAGGUUAUUGAAGGGUACUCGGAUGCAAGUUGGAUAUCCAAUAUGGAGGAUCACACCUCCACUACUGGAUGGGUAUUCCUACUUGGAGGAGGUGCAAUUUCGUGGGCUUCCAAGGAGCAAACUUGCAUCACAACAUCCACUAUGGAAUCUAAAUUCAUAGCAUUAGCGGCUGCUGGCAAGGAGGCAGAAUGGCUAAGGGACCUAGUCUAUGAGAUUCCACUAUGGCCGAAACCUAUCUCUACCGAUUUCUAUCUUAUGUGAUAGUAAUGCUACUCUUUAGAGCAUAUAGUCAGGUCUAUAAUGGCAAGUCUCGUCAUUUAGGGGUGAGGCAUAGUGUUGUUCGUGAACUGAUCACUCACGGGACAAUCACGGUGCAAUAUGUUCGGUCUGAGCAAAAUCUGGCUGAUCACUUGACAAAGGGAUUAGCGAGAGAUUUGGUUGCCAAAUCGGCAGGAGGGGUGGCACUAAAGCUGGAUAGUUCUCCAAACGUAGGACACCCAAUUCCCCCUCUAAUACAACGUUAGAGGCAGAAUUCAAUGCGGAAAGCCUACGAAUGGAAACUGGAGCACAAGGUUUGCACCAUCCCGAAGGUAUGUGCUCCGGAACCUGCGAGUGAUAGAGGUUGAAGUUUAACUUCUUAAUUGAUUCCUUGACAAAGUGUAUACGCAGGUACACAAGAAAGGAGUUGACAUAUACGAGCAUGAGCCGCUUCAAGGAACUUGGACUUGGUUUCGUGUGCGCUCGUGAGAGGAUUCAGACACAUGGCAGUCAAUAGUGUCGAGAUAUCUUGGAAUAGAUAGGAGAAACUCUUGUGUAUAUUAUCUUCAGAUACUCAAAUGAGUAGACAGGGUUCAAUCCAUAGAGACACCCCUAUAUUCGAGUAUUUUGGAAUGUGUAAUGUACUAGAUGAAAAUUCAAUCUUCGUGACAUUUUCAUUGAUGCAAGUGUCUUCGGAUUGGAUAUUUGUUAAUUUUAGCGAAAUCACAGACUUCACUAAAAUGGGGGAGGAAUGUUGGAAAUAUACACCAUGGACUUGACCUUGGUGUGAUACCAAAGAUANNNNNNNNNNNNNNNNNNNNNNNNNNNNNNNNNNNNNNNNNNNNNNNNNNNNNNNNNNNNNNNNNNNNNNNNNNNNNNNNNNNNNNNNNNNNNNNNNNNNNNNNNNNNNNNNNNNNNNNNNNNNNNNNNNNNNNNNNNNNNNNNNNNNNNNNNNNNNNNNNNNNNNNNNNNNNNNNNNNNNNNNNNNNNNNNNNNNNNNNNNNNNNNNNNNNNNNNNNNNNNNNNNNNNNNNNNNNNNNNNNNNNNNNNNNNNNNNNNNNNNNNNNNNNNNNNNNNNNNNNNNNNNNNNNNNNNNNNNNNNNNNNNNNNNNNNNNNNNNNNNNNNNNNNNNNNNNNNNNNNNNNNNUAAGAACUUGAGUGGAGAUGGUCUUAUCCUCGGAAGGGAUUUCCUGAUACCCAAGGCUUGUAAGGGUGGAAAUACUCUUUUCGGAAAGUGGUGCCCACGAUUCCGUCUUGAUCCUAGAUCUCUUCUUCUAUCAACACUCGAACGAUUGGUACUUGGAACCUCAUAGCCAACACACUGAAGCUCGUUGAGCUCAACCUUGCUGGAUGUUAGUGUCACUAGCUGCGGUGAUGAGCUGAGCUAAAGUGAUGGUAGGGAGCUAGGUAGUUUGGGGUGGUUACUCCUUCUCCUAGGACGAAUGGGUACACACCUCUUCAUGAGAUCCGAACUCAUUUCUGAGUUGUUUUCCCUCCAAACCCAUAGGACUUCAAGGUGUUUACCUUUAAGUAUAUCCAUGGGGGAUAAUGACUCCUCUUGGUGCAUGCAUUCGUACCCCUUCAGUCCUGGACCCCUUUGCCUAUAUAAAGAAGGAAGUAGUGUGGAGAACAUACACAGAAAACAUCUAUCCUAGCCUACGUUCUAUGUGACUCUAGAUUCUAAAGUCUAAGAACUUGAUGGUGACGGUCUUAUCCUCGGAAGGGAUUUCCUAUCCUCGGAAGGAAUUUCCUGAUACCCAAGGCUUGUAGGGUGGAAAUACUCUUAUUGGAAAGUGGUACCCACGAUUCCAUCUUGAUCCUAGAUCUCAUCACCUAUCAAAACUCGAAACAUUGCUACUUGGAACCUCCUGAUCUAACAUACACUUGGAUCGCCAUGAUCAAUGGUUUCGCCAUGAAAGGCGACGCAUCAGGUUCAUUGUGAUUUUUCUCCCGCUUGAUGAGCUCUGGAAUCCAGCCGAACAAGGUCACAUUCCUCGCUGUCCUUGGCGCAUGUUCUCACAACGGAUUAGUACACGAAGGUCGUAAAUUGUUUCGAGAAGAUGAAUGGAGAAUUCGAUCUAGAACCUGACGUUGGCCAUUACAGUUGCAUGGUGGACUUGCUAGGCCGAGCGAGGUACUCGGACGAGGCGAUGGAGGUGAUCAAGGGGAUUCCAAUGGAGCCGAGUUUCGGAGUGUGGGGUGCUCUGCUUGGUCCGUGUGUGAUUCAUUAGGAUUUCGAGCUAUGCGAAUGGAUUGGCAACCGUUUGGUGAAGCUCGAACCGGACCAUGGCGGUUGUACUGGUGGUGACUAUAGCUCGCUGCUGGCGAAUGUGUAUUCAGCAAGGGGGAAGUGGGAUGAUGCCACUAGUGUAAGGAAGGUGAUGAAAGGGAAGAGGAUUGGAGUCAGCUGGAUCGAUGUGAAUGGGGAGAAUUGCGAGUUUGUUGCCUUUGAUGUGUCUCAUCAAUGUUGGGAAGAGUUGUGUCGAAUUCUUGAGACUUUCAUUUGAAUUUGGGAUUUAGUCGAAAGUGAUUUAAAAUAGUUAUUGAUUUUGUAAAUAAUUUACUUUGUUGGUCGAGUUUUGGAAACCAGAAGAGAAAUUCUAACUAAUUACACAUAAUACUAUCGAAAGUCUAGUAUGUCUUGAGAGAGUGGACAAAGCCUUAGAGAUAUCCGAUGCCGGCAAGAAGGGAGACACCAAGCAUGCCCACGUCAGCAUCUUCAGCAAAAUCCACUUGACGGAGGAUCUGAGAGUCUGUGUCCGGGCAAUGUGCUUCUCCACAGGGAAAUACACCGUCAGUAGCUAGAAGGAAACAGCUCAGAACAGUCCCGAAUAUGGCAAUGGAGAGUCCAAGGCCGAUGCUCGAAUAGCCAAAAGAUAUGAUUGAAGCCAUAACUGAUAGCCAUGAAAAUUUGUGAAACUCGGGGAUCUGGCUCAAUAUCAGCUGGAUGCACCCGUAUAUCACCAUGUUACGGGUUGUUCGGGACGUUCGUGUGACACUCCCUGUCCCCUUCCGUGUGAAAGCAAUUUAAUUUCUUCACAUGCCUGCACACAUAUAAUGAUAAUCAUGAGUAAAUCAACAAAAUGAUAGGUAGGUACGAUGAUAAAAAUGCAUUUGGUCACAUGUGAAGACAAUUUAAAACUUUAGUGACUAAUUCUGUUAUUAACGGAGAGUUUGGUCACAGAUUGUAUUUCUGCUGCUAAUAAGUUAAUUAGUAAUAGAAAUUACUGUGACUAAUAUCCCAUAACCCGUCACUAAUCAUGCAUUUUUUCAUGUAGUGAAUAGUGACGUCACAUUAAUUAUAUACACCAUGCUAAUUAGUAAUUAGUACUUACGCGAGGCUAAUGGAGGCAGUAAUGACGUAACCGACGGUGGUCCCGGCCAGAUUGCAGUACUGUGCGACCCCGCAAAGUCGGACCUUCCUCUCACCCAAACUCGACCGAACUGCAGCCAUGUAGGUAGGGUUUCGGCUCCCUGAAUCCUGCGAGCGAUAUGAAUCGGCGAGCCGGGUGGAAGUGAACCAAGUGAUGGCCGAAAAUGCGACUAGCACCGCUGGCCCGGCUACCCAUCCCAACUGGGCGAUCAGACCAAUCUAGGGAGCGCACACCAUGUCCCUGGACAGAAAUACAACAAAGCCACGGUUAAUUUAGAUCAUGAAACUAACAUCACUUGUUAAGAAAAUUUGGAAUAUGUUCUUCUUUGAGAAAUUAUAAUCAAAUAUAUAUAUCAUAAUCAUAACUGAAAAAUCGUCAUUUUUUUAAAGUAAAAUUAAUUACAGUUUCCGCUGACUAAUACAAAGUUUCAGUAGCUAAAUAUCUUUAGUCACUAGACCUUUAAUCCGAGGAGAUUGAAUGGCGAUUGUUGGUGACUGAAGGUCCUUUUUCUUGUAGUGGUCAAAAUAUUGAAGAGUGUAUGCAUAACAAGUUGUGUUUGAAUCUUGUAAGCACAAAUAAGGUCGAUGCCGACGCAGAUGUUGGCCAAGUCGAUCAACGAAAACGAUUCACGAAAUCCCGUGAAGUAGUCGCCCUGUACAUCGUUCCCGAAGGCAGCAUAUCCAAUGCAAGCACAGAGAAGGUAGAAUACCGUGGUGAUCAAGAUACCCACAGAACUUGCCUUCCUCGUUGCUUUGUUUUCAGCCUGGCCUGAUCUUAGAGUGUCCUGCAAGUAAUCACACCAAUCCAUUUGUUAGUUUAUUUGCUAUAGGUUUUGUUAAAGUCCUGAGAGAGUGGACAAGGCCUUGGAGAGUCCGAUGCCGGCCAAAAGGGAGACCACCAAGCAUGCCCACGUCACCGUCUUCAGCAGAAUCCACUUGACGAAGAAUUCGAGAGUCUUGCAUCUCCACAGGAAAAUACACCGACAGUGGCCAGAAGAAAACAGCUCUGAGCAAUCCAAAAAAUCGUUGAAGAAGGGGAAGAUCAUCUUCGUGGCUUCCGUCACUGUCACAUAUCCUAAUCAUCACAAUUGAAAAAUAAAAAAAUACAGCGUAGUUCAUUUUUUUAAACUCAAAUCAUAGAGUUUUUCAUUAAUAAAAAACUCUUAUUAAUAAAAAAGUCAUGGCUAUAUCAAUUAUUAUAUAUACCUUUUUCAUCAAGUGAAAAUAUAAAUAAUUUAUUAUAUAACUUUUUCAUCAAAUGAAAAUAGUGGCUUUCCUUAGAUACACUCUUUUAUUAAAAAAAAACUUAUUUUUCUAAAAAAUUUUGGUUAUAAAAAAGGCUAAAUCUCCUCCUAUAUCACGAUUUAUUUGGAAAAUAUUUCUUUAGCAUCGUAUUUUCUGCUAUAAGUUGGAUAUAAAAAAUUAUUCAAAACUUCGUCCCGAUUGUCAUAAAUGCAUAUUUCGUUGAUCCCAGUGUCACAUCGUCCUAUUAGAGUUGGAUGAGUCAACAUUUUACCGACGUUGAAAGUUAGUCCUGACGAUGUGAUAUUGAGACAAAAUCCAUAUAACUUAUAUCCGUAAAUCCGGCCGCUGCAUGCACCCGCCCGAAAAGGUGUUCUGGCCAUUACAACUGGCUACAAUUUUCGAAUGAAUCAACUAAGACGAUUCUAUCUUUACGAAAUCUAAAACAUCAUUUUAUUCAAAUCUGAGAGCUUCAAAUAGUAACCUUUAUCUAAUAUCCAUCUCAUACAGGUGCAUGUAUUUGGUUUUGAAAGACAUAGUCAACAUUAUUUUGACCGUUUCAACAUUAAAUUGUAUAUUUUGACUGUUCUGAUCUUUAAUACAAUCUAUCUUUAGUAUAAAAUAAUAAAUACUAAUAUCUUGAGAUAAUUAAUUAAGAAAAUGUCAAUUUUAAAACCGAUAUAUAACAUUUAAAAGUUUCGAGACAACCCCUGAAGGACAAGCUAGUUGCAUGGGAUAUGGAUGUUGAUUCAUUUUGCAGUAUAUGCAAUAUUGGGGUUGAAAACUCAAUUCAUUUAUUCCUCAUUUGUCCAUUCAUCUCCAAAUUAUUCAUCUCCAAAUUAAGAACUAAACUCUUCCUCCGUCUUGUCUAUCUGGAAGACUGGAAGGAUGAGAUUAACUGUACGACAGUUAAAUUCCCGAGACACUCACCAAGGUCGAGAGCGACUAAUCUCAUUUGGCGUUGUUUAAUCAGUCAUAUAUAGAAAGAAAGAUAUCGUAGAGUUUAUACGGGUAUUCACAUGGAUGUGGAACAGAUGGAUAGACAAAUCUGCUGGGAAACCUCGGUUAUCGAAUGUAACGCAAAAAUUAGUAGAUGCAUUGAAGAGUAUAGCAAAUUGUAUGGAUAGAUUUAGAUAAAAUCAUAGUAGUAUAGGUUUCUUUGAUCUCUGUUGUUCCCGUAACUAAGUUUCAGAAACUGUUUGAUUGGUUGUUGUGCUUUGAUGAAAUAAAAAUUGAUAUUCAUCGAAAAAAAGGUUUUGAGACGGAUUUGUAACCCGACCUAACUUACGUGACUAAUCGAGUAUUUGACCGAUUAUUUUUUAGGAGGGCCGACCAGAUCCUCAUCAUAUGCCAAAAAUACCAGUAGUUGGCCAUUUAUCGCACUGUACUAACAAUGUCAAGCACCAACCACUCAUUCAGCGAUGGGGAAAGCUUCAGAAAUCUGAUGCCAUUUCAAUCCCAUGUCGAAUUGCAUCUAGAAAUCCAGAAACUUUCUGAAACAGAGAGAUUCUUCUCAAGACACCUUUACAUGAUCACCAGCAAUGGCGACAAUUCACAAACCACUGAAGCUGAAGAAGCCCAGACUGAGAUCGCCAAUCCCCAACCUGCUCAUCUGGUUAGUAGCCGCCGCCAUUGGGCUUAUCUUCCUUUUCUCGGCGAGUGAUUUCUCCAUCGACGACUCUAUGAAACUCAUAAAGCGGCUGAUGAGGUCCAAGCGGCCCAGGCGGGUGCAUACUCUGCAUGACAAGUAUUUGUACUGGGGGAGUAGGAUCGAUUGUCCUGGCAAGCAUUGCGAAUCUUGUGAAGGUUUGGGUCACCAGGAGUCUAGCCUCAGGUGUGCUCUUGAGGAGGCAAUGUUUCUUAACAGGUUGGUAAUUUCUGGAUGUAUUAAUAUGUUCGCCAUGUUACUGAUAAAAUGCCUGAAAGAGAAAAAGGAUGUAAUGGAUAAAUAGUGGCAAUGUACUUAUUAGUUAUUAGAGCUAUCUGUCCUUUGAAUUUUGGAGAAUUAUGUUGGGAUUUCCAGUUCAUUGGAUCUUUCUCCUGUACUGAUAUAUCAAACUGGCUUUGAAUCCUGAGUGAUGAUGGUGAUCAUUAAGCUGAGGAUUUCUUAUAUCAUCCUUAAAUGUCAUGGGAGGAUGCAACACCUCAGUAGAAAAUAGCAUCGUUUUAUAUCUCAAGGGAAAAAUGGAACCUUUGGUUGGAUCCCAAAUCCUGAUAGAUUGGAAUAGGGGGAUUCUAGCCAGUUUGGGGACGUUGGAAUGGAUAUAAUUACCGGGAGUCUGAAUUAUUGGUUUGGCAAUGUGGAAAGUUUGAUGAAAUUUUGAGCAUUUUUCCAGUCCAAUAGGAAAGUUAGUCCUGACGAUGUGAUUUUGGGAGCGAAUUUUCAUUUUGUUAUUCCAUGCCCGAUUGGAAUCUCGAUCCUGAACAGCUUCACUGGGAAUUAUAUUUCUUUGGAAUAGAUUAUUCCAAGAAAUUUCUGACUGUCCGGAACAAUUCCUUGUAGUCACAAAUUCCAGGGAAUUCUUAAAUCUGACAAUUGCUUGAUUUCACCUUUUUGCAGAACUUUUGUCAUGCCUUCUAGAAUGUGCAUCAAUCCUAUACAUAAUAUGAAGGGAAUUCUCCAUCGUUCUGAUAAUUCAACUUCUGAAGAAAGGUUUGUUUGCUAAAAACUUGUACUGGGGAUUAUCUAUAGUGGGUUGAGGUCCUACAUCUUGAAUAUCAAUAAUUUCUUUUUAUGGUCGAUAAAACUAUCUCAAAGAACCGAUCUUGUUGAGCUGUGCCAUUAAAAUCAUUAAUUUAGGGCGAAUUUACUAGCUGUCUUGCAGUUGUUUAUUUUCAACUCUGCCAUUGCUGAAACAGAUGAGGCCUUGAGUGGAAACUCGGCUAGUUUGUUAAGCAUGUCAUGAACUUAUACGUGCUUUUGUUUUGAAGGUGGACAUCAAGCUCUUGCAGUGUGGAGUCCUUUUACGAUAUAGACUUCAUGUCUGAAACCGUACCAGUUAUCUUGGACAAUUCAAUAGAGUGGUUUUACCUUGUUUCAAUUGCAAUGAGAUUGGGAUCGAGAGGAAUUGCCAAUGUACAAGGAGUUAGUCGGGCUGAACUGAAAGAAGGCAGCCAGUACACCAAUCUGUUGCUCAUAAAUCGAACUGCCAGUCCUCUUUCAUGGUAUGCAGUAUACUGCUCAAUUUCUCUGUGGCUUUCUUAUCAAACUUAGGACUCCCAAGUACUUCUGUGGAGCUAAAAUAAUAACUCUUUAGGUUUAUGGAAUGCAAGGGAAGAAGCAACCGCAGUGAUAUUAUGCCGCCAUACUCAUUUCUUCCUUCAGUAGCGUCAGAGAGAUUGCGGGAUGCUGCCGACUUGGUAUGUAAUAGGUGCCUUUGGACUACUUCUUUUCAUUUUGUUUAGAAGAAACCUAUACUUGUGUUAAAAACUGACUCAACUCGGUCCAGUCUCUGCUCAACUGAACCUGAUUAGUAAUUUGAAUUGAUCGAAAGCCAAUAACCUAUAACUCAGCCAACCCCAAAAUCUCAAGAACCUAUAAACCAAGUAAACUCUUAUCCACCUGACCCAUAAAUUGAUCAAUACGUCAAUUAACCUACCGCCCAAGUUUGAUAGCUCUAGACUCCGGUAUACAUGUAAAGUUUUACACUUUCACAUUAUGAGUGCUAACUUGUGGUCAUGCAGGUGCACUUUGCUAACAGAACUCAUUUCUUAGACGUUUUAGUCUUUGAUUUGGUUUCAGUUCUAUGAUUUAUGUUAGUGUUUGUCUCCCUGCAAGUUUUGAAUGGCUGUUUAUGUUGGUGAUAUUUACAGAUCAUAGCUAAACUUGGCGAUUAUGAUGCUAUUCAUGUUCGCCGCGGAGACAAAAUCAAAACAAGGAAUGACAGAUUUGGUGUUCCUCGCAGCUUACACCCCCAUCUGGACAGGGAUACACGCCCAGAAUACAUUCUUCAGAGAAUCGGAAAAUGGGUCCCACCUGGAAGAACUGUUUUUAUUGCUUCAAAUGAGAGGACGCCAGGUUUCUUUUCCCCUCUUUCUGUCAGGUAAUCGUAUUUUCGUUCGUGAUUGCGUUUCAUGCACAAAAUGCUACAUCCCGGUGAAGCUGAUGAUUUAUAUAUGGGGGGAAUUUGGUUUUUUUGGGGGUAUUUGCAGAUACAAAUUAGCAUAUUCUUCAAACUACAGCAGGAUCCUGGACCCUUUGAUUCAGAACAACUACGAAUUGUUCAUGAUCGAAAGGCUGAUAACGAUGGGUGCGAAAACAUUCAUCAGAACGUUCAAGGAAGAUGAUACAGAUUUAAGCCUCACUGAUGACCCAAAGAAGAACACCAAGAUAUGGCAACUCCCCGUCUAUACCAUGGCCGAAGUUCGGGAUAAAUGAUCGAGUCUUAUACCGUCGUAGCCCUUUGUUCUUUCAUUCAAGGUCCAAACGAUGUUUGAUUAACUAGACAUUUUAUAGAAACCGCGAUUUUAUCAGACUGGUAAAUAUUAAUCACUGUUUAGGAUGGGAUGUUACAGUAAUUUAUUUUUUAAUUGUGGAUACAUCUGGAUAACUAGGAUGAUAAUUUUAUUCAUACUGUUUGGUUCCGGUUAUCCAGUACUCGAACCAGGCCUUACAUUUUCGGUUCAUCCCGUUAAUCGUUUCCAUUAGACUGGUAUUUAACUGUUGGGAAAUUCAUUAGCAAGGUUUGCAGAGAUAAAUGGUUUCGAAUGUUAGAUAACAACGAGAAUAUGAAACAACAACGAUAUCCAGACUCGUACAUUUACGUUGAAUCAUUUGCACUGCGUGGAUCGGUAAGUGCAGCUAGCUACAAACAAAAUACAGGUAAACUCGACUCGAUAAACUAUAUAUUGCGAUAGCUAGGGUUUGGUCAUUAUUAUGAUUCAGUUGGCUAACUCGGGAUUACAUAGCUCGAAGAACAACUAGUUAUUAUGCUUAUUAUUUGAUCCUCCCAUUUCAAUGAAAACUGCAGCAUUGUUUGCUUCCUUUUGCUUCGAGAUUUCACCGUCUGCAACUGCCUUUGCAGCAUCCUUGUAGAUCAUGUAUAGCACCAUCUGUGUUAUCCCAAAUAGAAAUCCCAGCACAUUUGGCAGCUGCAAAUGACAUAUUUCGAAAUUGAUUUCCGAGUUUUACGACAAGGAAAUCGAAUCGUGGUCCGAAAUCUAGUUAGUCGUACUAACCGCAAUGUAGUAAUCGUUGACGAGAAGGCCAUAGAAGAACCACGCAGUGGCGCAGAGCGUAAGGAAGAACGACAGGGAGAAGGGCAUGUACUCCACGCUCUUCGUCUUUAUCACGUUUCUCUGCACCCACAUUACAUCGAUUGACACUACCGUCGUUAGGAUCUUGUCAUAAACCGAACAGAAAGAAACAGGGUUACCGAUCUGGCUGCUUAAUCUGUUAUUACCACAAUGCUCAAGGGAGCAGCAAAGACUGCAAUGUUGAACACAGCACAUAUCCAUCCAAUGGUGUUCAACCUUAAGCUACCAUGAAGCCAGAACACAGUUACCAGCAUCAUGCCACCAUAUCCUCCCAAUGAACUAACCAGCAUCUUCACUGUAAACAUCUGUUAAGAAAAACAAUCACUAAUCACGGUUAUAUCUUAUGGUCCAUAACCGGUUAAUUAGGUCCGACUCUAUAUAAUACUACAAAAAAAUCCAGUUUUAGUGACGAUUUUCCACUAAAACAGUCACUGAUAGGCCAAACGGUCACCGGUGAUCUAUACUGACCAAUAAAUUAGUGACUGUUUCAUAUAUAAGCAGUCGCUAAAACUCCAUUUUCUUGCCGUAACUGUAUACAUAGUAUCAUAUGAUUUGGAGUCUACAAUCUUGUAAAGAUCACGAUCCAUCUUUCUUUUAUGCACCAUAACAAACUUGAAGAACAUCGAGCAUACCAAUUCUCUGGUUGGUGAGUAGAAGAGGUAGGCAGAGAGGUAAAUGAGCUCAAUGGCGCACCCAAUGGCAUUGAUCGUAAUUAUGAGCGUCGCAUUGGUUUUCAAAAGUCCAUAGUACAACAGCAACAUUGCACUCAUCAGUGCCGUCACGUAUGGUAUCGAGUGGAAACCUUGCGACGACUUCUUCUUGUAAAUUUUGUAAAACGUCGGCCUGCAACUCAAAAGUACUCGACGUCAGUUACAACAAUCAAACGCUGUCACGGAUUUUUUGUAGUCACGACGACGGUUCUUACAGGGGAGCUAAGAACACCAGAAAAGAGAUGAUGUUUCCUGGAGAAAACACAGAGUUAAAUUGAUCAGAAUGGAAGUAUGAAUGAAUGAAGAUUGAAGGUCUCGAAUUUCGUACCGAGUAGACCGAAAAUCAGAGCAAGCUUUUCAUGACUGAUGAUGAGGAAUUUUGCUGCAACCAUCUUUUUUUAUGAAUAUUGCUUUCUUUGUGUGAGAUGCUCUGCUAUGGAGGGUAUGAAUUAGUGAAUUUAUAGAGAGUGGAUGAUUGGUUAGCUUGAGAAGUUAAUUAGGCUGACCAAACCCAUUAGAGAAAAGAGAGUGUAAAGCAUGAUACAUUCAUUUUCUACCCGACCGAACCGAAGUAUAUGAUAACUCGAGUUGGUUGGGAGAGGUUCGGAAUUGCGUGGGUUAUAUAACAUUUUUUAAUGGAAUUUCAGUCUGUGCGUGGGCGGUUAGCAAAAAUCCGUUUAAUAUUCGUAUAAUACACAUAUACAUAUUAUAUACAUUUAAAUUUUCCAUUCUCGUACUAUUUUAGAGCCGUUCGAUUUUUUCACGCUGGUUUAAGGGUAAUUAAGGAGAUUGGUGUAAGAACAUCUCUAUUAAAGACUUUUAUGCUAGGUAGAGAACUAGCUAGUGUCCUAAUAAUUCGAGUUAUCGAGAUUACGAGUCAAAUCAAAUCACAAUUCAUGUAAGUUAUUAAGAUUUGAAAAUCGAAUUGGAUCGGAUUAGAAUUGAGUUGAGUCCGCUCUACCGACGAUGGUGGGGGGAUUGGAGUUUGAGAGAGGAUUGAUUGAGUUGCAGGUUUGGUGGAAACAUGGAGAUAGGGCUACUCUGAAGCUUAACCGGGCAUUAACAGUGAUGUUUCAUAAACCAAACUUGUUAAUUAUUCAUGUCAUGUUUGCUCUCAAUUUUCGUUAUGAUGUGCUUGCUGUAUGUGUUUGAACUUUGAUAUUAUGUAAUUUUCGUUAUAUUUAUAGAUUGGUUAUUAUAUUUUUUAUGUGCGACGGCCUAACGUAUUUUAACUUCUAUACGAUUUGGCAAUGCAUUGCACUAUUCUGAAUCCGCCGCUGUUAUGUUGCGGAUACCUUUACAACUGAAAUCUUUUUUGGGUUGCUUGACAGUACCUACCAACUAAUCACAAGUCAAAAUGUUCACUUUGAGACGUCUGUGGCCAAAUUUUGGUUGCCAGAAUAUGCGCCGGGACUGUGGAUAACUAACUAUAUGCUCCUAUCAGAGUUUCAGUUGGAGGCUUUGAUUUGGGUGUUUGUAUGGUUGUUUGACGAAGUUUCGUGUUCGGCUUGGGAAAAACUCGUUCGUGAUUCGAUUUGAUUUUAAACGAGCCGAGCUUGAUGCGUGGUUUAUUCAAUUUGAUAGGCUUGUGAGCUCGAAAGCCGACUCGAAUACCAACUCAAUAAUUGGACUCGUCGGUAGACUUAAUAACUUAAUUCUUUAGGAUAGCUUGUUUUUUAGCGUACAAACUUCAAGUUCAACUCAAAUUAGACUCUCAUCGCGGGUUUUAAUGAGUGAAGUUUGAAUUGAGCUCGCGUUUGGCUCGUAAAUGGUAGUUAACAAACUAGGUUCAAAUAUGCUAGAGCUCAACACAAGCCAAAAUUUUCUACCGAGUUCAACUAAAAAUUAACAAGCCAAACUUGAGCACUGAAAUUCAGCUCGCGACGUAACAUAACAAUAUUUUCGUCAACUUGUGUCAUAUUUUUCGUCUAAUAUCACAACUCAAUCCAGCCUCUACGAGGUGACAUGUUUUUCUUUCUGUGUUCUUCAAAUCUGUUAGAAAGUAUUGAGCAUCAUGGAUGGCAUCUGAAAGGAUAGAUGCCACGGAGCAUCAUGCAUCUGCAAACACAAGUAAUAGCAGAGCAGAAGAAUAGGGAAGGAAAUGUCAAAGGACCCCCAUAAUUUAAUUGCAUGGGUUAGUCACUGCAGCCACUACUCUGGCCAUCUGAACCACCUGAAACUCCGACAUCUGCACUUUUGAUCGCAUGACCAGCCUGCGAGCCAAUUACCGUUGCUGUAUCCUCGUUGGAAGUAGAUGCCGAAAUUUCCAUUACAGACAAUAUGCCACCCUUGCCUUCAACUGGUAGCGCACCACCCGUUUGCAAUACUGGUUCAGGACGGUUUCCCAGUGUAGGAUUGCUGUCAGGUGCCGAAAUUUCAACUGCAGACUGUAUGCCACCCUCUCCUUCAACUGGUAGCGGACCACAUGUUUGCAAUACUGGUUCCGGAUGGUUUUCCGGAGUAGGAUUGCUAUCCUUAACACUGUCAUUUGAAGCACCUAGAGCAGUCUCAACUCCUUCGACUAUACUUUCGCUUAGUGCUCCUUUCACAAUUUCAACUACGCUUCCACUCUGGACACCUUCAACUUCGCUUCCUCCUAAAGCAACCUCCAUUACUUCAUCUACUCCUUCAACUUUGCUUUCUCCUAUGCUACCUUCCUUCCUUUUAUCCACUCCUUCAACCUCACUUCCUCCAAUGGCACCUUCGGUUCCUUUAUCCACUCCAACCUCACUUUCUCUUUCAGCCCCUUCCUUUCGAUCAUUCCCUCCUUCGACUAUGAUUUCUCUGAUAGCACCUCUCAUUCCUUCAUCUACUCCUUCAACUUUACUUUCUCCUAUAGCGCCUUCCGUUCGUUUAUCCACUUCAACCUCGCUUUCUCCUGUAACACCUUCCAUUAGUACAUUCCUGCCUUCGAGUACGAUUUCUCCUAUAGCAUCACUCAUUCCUUCAUCCAGUCCUUCAAUGUUACUUUCUCCUAUAACACUUUCCAUUAGUUCAUUUCCUCCUUCAAGUACGAUUUCUCCCAUAGCAUCACUCAUUCCUUCAUCCACUCCUUCAACUUUACUUUCUCCUAUAGCGCCUUCCAUUUGUUUAUCCACUCCUUCAACCUCGCUCUCCCCUAUAGCACCUUCCAUUCGUUCAUUCCCUCCUCCAACUACGAUUUCUCUUCCUAUAGCACCACUCAUUCCUUCAACUUUACUUUCUCCUAUAGCACCGUCCAUUUGUUCAUUCCCUCCUCCGACUAUGAUAUCUCCUAUAGCACCACUCAUUCCUUCAACUUUACUUUCUCCUAUAGCACCAAUUACUCCUUCAACUACGCUUUCUCCUGUAACAACUUUCAUCCCUUCAACUUCUGGUUCACUGACACGUAUCCGUUUACAUUCUGAUCCUUGCUGAUCGUCUGCAGUCUCAGAAGUGUUAUUGAUAUGUUCAUUCAGAGCACUCUUUGGUACUUCCGUUUCCGACAUGUUUGUAUGUUGUAAUUCCAGACCUUUCAGAUCAGCCCCAGCAGGAUUUCCAUUGGAUGAAUGUUCACCAAGUGCAUUUUGAGGCUUUCUUUUACGUUUUCUUUUCAUCAUGUUCUUCUUGCGCCGUCCCUUUUUAACAGUGGGAGGAGCGGCUGUCUCCUUUGGAACACUCGGCGGCUCCAAUACCCUAUUCCUGUUGGGAAUUACUGUUAAACUAGAGUUUCCACCAGUUGGCCCUCUGGAUAUGUCCAUAUUGAUUUCCUUAAUAGCAAACCAAGCAGUUCUUGCAGCUUUUAUCUCCGCUUCCUUUUUGGUGUUUGCCAUUGCUCCUAUAUACCUCGUCCCUCCAAUGUCCACAACACAUUGGAAAGAAUGUCCACGACGUCCACGAUGUUGUGUUUCAUACUGUUGACACUGGUACAAAGGAACUGCAAAAUUCAUCUUCUGAGCAUAUUCCUGAAGCAGGUUCUUACAGAGUCCAGUUCCAUGCUAACAGGGGAAAGAACAAAAGUGAAGGUCAGAAUUAAUGACCCAUGAAGUACAAGCUAGUGGGUAGCAUUUAUGGUAUCAAUGGUAACAAGUAAAGCACAAUCACCCCUCCAAUGCUUUCACAUGGACAGAAUUGUGACCUAAAGAAAUCAGUAAAGUAACUAUGUUACUGAAUAAUACACUUACAGCUGGUUGGGAGAUGCUAGCAUUGGCAUCACUGGAUUUAGCCAACUCAAUGAGCGCAACCUCCGCAGCUGACUGCUCUGCUGCUUUACGAUUCAUAAAUCCAGGAAGAGAGUCAUAUCUGACAUCGUUCACUAUCACAGUUGACCUGAAGAAAGGUUCAUGAGAACGGCCUUCUUUGGUUGUCUCAUACACAGGUGUAGGAACUCCUGCCUUUUGCGCAUACUCCUGUAGCUGACUCUUAAAUAAAUAGCAACUCGCUAUACCUGGAACCAGACAAAGUAAUUGCAUAAGCAUAACCUAACCUACCUACUAACAAGUACUAGUGAUUUAGGAAAACAUGAACAGAUGUAUUUGCAGCUUGUUGUGACUGUCUCGUUCAUAGUGAUGUGGGAAAUGAAGAAACUGCUAUCUCAAAUAACUGCUUGUAUGCCACAACCAAGCAAAAUCAAACAACUUUAUCGCAGCAUUGGAAUCAGUCUUCCUAUUUGAUGCAGUAGGAUUUAUUACUUAUCUCUCAAGAAAGCUAAUUGUCGAGAUAGUUACAGACACAAAACCCCGUUUGACAAGUUAAUUAAACGUCUGCACUACCUUGAAGGCUACCAAGUAAGGACCUCAAAGUCCCCCGAAUUCUUCAAUUCAGUUGAAGUAAAAAUAGCUAACAAGAAAAUUAUCACAGCGUACUCCUCAGAGGGGGAAAAAGUACGCACAUCAAUCAUAAAAUGGACAUCAGAAACCUAAGCAAUCAUUCCAAAUGAUUUGCUCACAGCUGAAGCAGUGAAUGAAACGCAGGAGGAAUCGAUGCAAUAGCUAAACGAAGAUAAAAUCAUCCAACCGUAUGAUGAAAUGCAGUAAGGCUUCAAGAUACACAAGCAAGAUGACUAUCUGAUGAACCCUAGCAGCAAUACAAGUAAACCCCCUAAUAAAACCAACAAACAGAGCAAACAAGCAUCAUUCUAGCGACAAUUCCAAGCUAUUAGAGCGCGAAGAAUACCAAACAAAACUGUCUAUUGAAACAAAAAUUAAAACGCCUCCAGCAGCAAGGUAAUUACUGUUAUCGGUACGAGGGCGUUUUCCGACGGUAGGUUGCUGCUGCUGCGACGACGACGACGACGCAUGGAGUGGUAGUCGGCCGGCAUGAAGUCCGUUAGACAUUUCCAGCCGGAUUCGAGAAAUGGGUUUUUUUACAGUAGCGGCGGAGCCUUCGGCACACCUGGUAGGUAACUCGAAAUGAAUGAAAACUGAAGCUUUUAUUUUUCAGUUCACGAAUAUCUAGUUGUGUUUUUUGUUGUAAGCUUUUAGUUUUCAGUUCACGAAUAGAGUGUUGACACUUGUUUCAAUCCUUAUUUCGGCUUCGUAACUUUCCAGUCGUGUUAGGGUGUAACAAACAUCUUAUAAAAACUCGUAAUGGUGUAAAAAGGUGUUGAUGUAUGAGAUCACCGGUUGCAACUUUGUCACAACAGCUUUUAAUUCAGUUUUAGUGGUUGAAUAAAUCUCGAGGUUUAUAUUAUAAAGCUAUCAAUCAGCGAUCAUUCGCAUCACGGAACAAGCCUCUUACGAUUGUUCAUCCGGUCUCGAAAAUAAUAAAUUGAGAGCAAUCCACUCAAAUGAUGAUGACGAUUAAGAGAUAUUCAUCACCGUCUUAACAUGUGAACCAAUAUGAAUGGACUGACCACGUAUCAAAUAUUCUCAACUUCGAUCAUCCAUUUCCAAUCCAUGACAGAAACUCAUAACCUCAGGAAAGUGUUGGUUGAUGAGAUCACCACCUCAAUAAUAACUAAAUCGUGACUUAUGAAUUCAACUACACUCAUACCAUUCAGUAACUUCUUUCCCAAUUCAACUACAAUCAUAUUAAUAUCCCAACAGCUCUCAAUUUAGUUGCGGUGAUUGAAAAAUUCUCAAAAUUUAUACUAUAAACUGUCACGCAAUAAUCAUCAACAUCACGAACAAACCUUUUAUAAUUGCUUAUCCGAUCUCAUAAAUAAUAAACUCUUUCUUUUGGUAUGAAAAAUAAUAAAUUCUUUUCGAAAUUAACGACAAACCACAAUAAUAAUGAUAACAACCAAUAGACAUCCGCCACCGUCUUUCACGCAUCAUCGCCUCCAAUAGCUGGGCCCGGCCGGAUCCACAAAAGCCCGGCCCGCCACUGUGGAACGUGUAGCUAGCUAUCAAUAAUUUCCCGACUCCAUUAGAAAAUGAAAAAAUUGAUUUGCUGUAAAAAUGGUGUCAUAAAUUCAACUUUGCUUUCGCGUCCACCUCUCUCUCUCUCGCUCCGCGCCUCCUUCCCCACUAGGGUUCAACCCAGCCGUCGCGUCCCUCCGAUCUGCCACCGGACAAUUUUCCACCCUUCAGCUUUUCAAAUUCCGUAAGUAACAUUCUGCUCCCCUUGAUGCUACUUCCGCUAGUUGAUCCUAUUCAUUUGUUUAUGGGACGAAGUUUGAUCUUAUUCUAGUGUUCCUACUAUCUGAUUGGCUUAUUGAAUGCUUACUUUUCAAUCUGAAUGCCUCUUUUUCGAACUGUGUACAGAUAGAUCAUGGCUAUGGAGGUGACACAGGUGCUUCUGAAUGCACAAUCGAUAGAUCGCAAUGUUCAGAAGCAAGCUGAGGAGAGCUUGAAUCAGUUCCAAGAGCAGAACCUCCCUGCUUUCUUGUUUUCUCUCUCUGGUGAGCUUGCCAAUGAAGAUAAACCUGCUGAUAGCCGCAGAUUAGCUGGUUUGAUGUUGAAAAAUGCACUGGAUGCUAAGGAGCAGCAUAGGAAGUUUGAGCUUGUUCAGAGAUGGUUGAUGUUGGAUGCUACUGUAAAGGCUCAGAUAAAAACAUGCUUGUUGAAGACACUCUCUUCUCUUGUACCUGAUGCUCGUAAACCUGCAGCUCAAGUAAUUGCCAAAGUUGCUGGAAUUGAGCUCCCCCAGAAACAGUGGCCUGAACUGAUUGGAUCCCUUUUGUCGAAUGUUCAUCAGCUACCUGCUCAUGUCAAGGAAGCAACAUUGGAGACUCUUGGGUAUUUGUGCGAGGAAGUUUCUCCGGAUGCUGUGGAUCAAGAUAACGUGAAUAAAAUCUUGACUGUUGUUGUUCAAGGAAUGAGUUCUUCCGAAGUGAAUACUGAUGUCAGAUUGGCUGCUAUUCAAGCAUUAUAUAAUGCACUGAGCUUUGCUCAAGCAAAUUUCAGCAAUGACAUGGAACGUGAUUAUAUCAUGAGAGUUGUCUGUGAGGCUGCUUUGUCGAAAGAAUUGAAGAUCCGCCUAGCAGCUUUUGAAUGUUUGGUGUCUAUUGCAUCAAUGUACUAUGAGAAGUUAACUCCAUAUAUGCAAGAUAUCUUCACAAUCACAUCAAAAGCCGUGAGGGAAGAUGAAGAAGAUGUAGCUCUCCAGGCAAUUGAAUUCUGGAAUUCAAUUUGUGAUGAAGAGAUAGACAUAUUAGAAGAGUACGGGGUCGAGUUUACUGGGGACUCAGAUGCAGUUCAAUGCUCCUAUUUUGUCAAGCAGGCUUUGACUGUUCUUGUACCAAUUUUGUUGGAAACACUUUUGAAGCAAGAGGAAGACCAAGACAAAGAUGACACUGCUUGGAAUAUUGCAAUGGCAGGUGGAACAUGUCUUGGGCUUGUUGCACGUACUGUGGGAGAUGAUAUUGUUCCCCUUGUUAUGCCAUUCAUUGAAGAGAACAUAACAAAACCUGAUUGGAGGCAAAGAGAGGCAGCUACUUAUGCUUUUGGGUCAAUUUUGGAAGGUCCUUCUCCAGACAAGUUGACACCGAUUGUUAAUGUUGCUUUGAACUUCAUGUUAACAGCUUUAACAAAGGACCUGAAUACUCAUGUAAAAGAUACCACUGCCUGGACUCUUGGGCGUAUCUUUGAGUUUCUUCAUGGUUCAACAAUGGAUGCACCAAUCAUUACGCAGGCAAAUUGCCAACAAAUAAUUACUGUACUACUCCAAAGUAUGAGUGAUGCGCCAAAUGUGGCUGGGAAGGCUUGUGGGGCACUAUAUUUUCUUGCUCAGGGUUAUGAAGAUGUGGGCCCAUCAUCUCCUUUGACCCCAUACUUCCAGGAUAUUGUACAGGCACUUCUCACGGUCACUCAUCGGAAAGAUGCAGAUGAUCGGCUAAAGACGGCUGCCUAUGAAACACUUAAUGAAGUGGUUAGGUGUUCAACAGACGAAACUACUCCUACGGUGUUGCAACUUGUUCCUGUGAUAAUGAUGGAACUUCACAAUACACUCGAGGGUCAGAACCUUUCAUCUGAUGAGAGGGAGAAACAACAAGGGCUUCUUUGUGGGUGUUUACAGGUCCUUGUUCAGAAGCUUAGCUCGGCGGAGUCAACUAAGUAUUCGUUUAUGCAGUAUGCAGACCAGAUAAUGGGUCUGUUCCUUAGGGUGUUUGCUUCUAAAAGCGCAACUGUGCAUGAGGAGGCCGUGCUUGCUAUUGGAGCCCUUGCCUAUGCAUGUGGCCCAGAAUUUGACAAGUACAUGCCGGAACUCUACAAGUACUUGGAGAUCGGCCUUCAAAAUUUUGAAGAAUACCAGGUGUGUGCUGUUACUGUUGGAGUGGUAGGCGAUAUUUGCAGGGCGUUGGAAAAUAAAGUUCUACCUUAUUGUGACGGGAUCAUGACACAGCUUCUGAAGGAUUUGUCAAGCAAUCAGUUGCAUCGAUCCGUUAAGCCCCCUAUAUUCUCCUGCCUUGGCGACGUUGCACUGGCAAUAGGCCAAGACUUUGAAAAAUAUCUGAUGUACGCCAUGCCAAUGCUCCAAAGUGCUGCCGAAUUGUCUGCUCAUACUACAGGUGCUGAUGAUGACAUGGUCGAAUAUACGAAUUCUCUCAGAAACGGAAUCUUGGAGGCUUAUUCUGGAAUAUUUCAAGGGUUUAAGAACUCAACUAAAACCCAGCUGUUGAUUCCUUAUGCACCACACAUUCUCCAGUUCUUGGAUAGCAUAUACAUGGAGAAAGACAUGUCAGUAGCUUAUUUUGAUCUUGAUUCUCAAUUUUGCAGCCAUGAAAAAUAUCAGUGUUUGACUGUAAAUUGACUUUUUAACUUGUUUGAAUUCAUGCAGGGAUGAUUUAGUGAUGAAAACAGCUAUUGGAGUACUUGGAGACUUGGCAGACACACUUGGAAGCAAUGCUGGAACUAUGAUACAGAAUUCUCUCUCAAGCAGGGACUUCUUAAACGAAUGCUUAUCUUCGGAAGAUGGUUCGAUAAAGGAAUCUGCUGAAUGGACGAGGCUAGCGAUCACUCGUGCCAUAUCUGCUUGAGAGGUUAUUUGCCAAGCUCGGCAUGUUCUUUCGUUUUAGAGUCCUGCAUGCAUGCAUUGGGGUAUCUUGAGUCAGUCAGGUCCUGGGUUUGCGUUCGUGUCAAGUCGGUCUCGGCAUUUUUCUGGUAACACAAGUUACUCGGGGUGUCCAGUUUUGUCACUAGCUCUUGAAUCAGCACCCGCUGGAGGGCUCGGCUCGGAGGCAUUUGAUUGGCUGCAAACAUCGUUUUGAAGUCAUAACCAGUUGGAAAUAAGGGUCCAAGAAGUGUCAUCAUUCAUAUUGCAUGGAGUCGGUGCAAGUCGGUCAUGGACAUUUGAGUUGGUUGAUGAUAGGUGCUGAGUCGGGUGCAAGGAAUCGUCGCCGAUUGCAUGUAGGGUUGGUCCGUCCGUCCAAGUCGUAAGGUCUCGAUGGGUGUUCCACCAGGACCGAACUCGAAGAGCAUUUGCCGAAACUUUUUUCCUGUGUUUUACUGCAUCUGUCAUCGUUUGUAUCUGUUGUCAUAUGGUAGGUUGUACCAUUGUACCUUCAUUUGUGGGGAAUAUACUUGAAGAGUCUUGCAUUGCAUGAUUCAUUUGUUUUUGUUUUCUAAACUUGUUAUUUCUCUAUAAAGCACUAUAAGUCUGAGAGCUUAUAUAUCAAAACAUCAUGCAUUCAUUCAUUCAUCAGAAUUUCCUUUGCAGCAUCUGGUAAUUAUUGAGUUUGUGCUCAUCUUUUCUUUGGAAGAUGUGUGAUUUUACUGAUCUUUCCUCUUGUUUCAUAACUGACAGAAGUAUCUCUUUUUAUGCUAGAAACUUUUCGAACGACUGAUGCGUUAUUGUUCGAUGAGUUUCUGUUGUGAUCCCUGUGUCAUCGGCGCGUUUCUGGUAAGCAUCGAAAGACACUUUCACGACUUGCGAGUGUUAUAAGUUGUUAUAAGUUAUAAUUAGUUAUUGACUAUGGUCCAUAAGUUAAGUAGGUUGCUCUGAGCCAAUACUCAUGGGUUAUGAUUCAUUUCGGCGUAACGAUUGAGUUGCACGGUAUCUGCUCAAGUUUUAGCCUAGAUAUUUAUAAGAGUUCAUCAGAGUCAUGGCCAGAUCACGAUAGCCACAUAUCAACCUUCGAUUGAUAACCUAAGUAAGUAUUGAAUCUCCACUGUUACUGAGAUGAACAGUGGAAAUUCCACCCGAGAGCCCGAGAACUUAAUUUGUUUUGCCUCAUUGCAAACCUAGUCCUUGCUACUCAUACUGAUGUUGUUGAGUUCAUUGUAACUAGUUAAUCCUAAGCAUAAAAUGUUAUUUCAAUCAAACCGGACAUAUAACAAAAUGCGUGACACAUUUAUAGGCUAGAGGCUCAAUCGAGGCCGAACCUUCAAAAAACCCCGCUCAAAGAGUGCGCCCCCGUCCCAAAUGAACUCUCUACCAAGGUUUUGGACAAUGAACGGGGAGAUUGCAUCGCGUUUCUUUAUAAGCCUGCAUCGAAUUUAAAAAUUGUUCGGGCUAGCGACACAUUGUCAAAUAUCGAUUCCAAUCAAUUAACAGCGAUUCGUUUCGGAUGGAAAUGAACUAGAUAUGUCUGAUUAACAUUUGUGCAAUAGAACCAGUGUCACCUUAGUGUUAUUAUACAACACACAAUUUCACAAAUAUGCAUCAUUUACAACUGCAAGUAAAUGCUUGAGAGAUGCAAUUCCAACUCCCAAGUAAAUAAUAGAACCAUAAAGAAAAAUGAAUAUCUAGUUGUAUUUGAUGAAAGAAAUAUUUUAAUGGUAAACAUGAUAAUUAUUUAAAAAGUUUGAUGUUACUAUUUGUUGUCUUAGAAUUUUGAAAUUUAGAUGUCUUAAAUGUCCUAUUUAAUCUCAACAAUUUUCCAACGACUGAACCUUCUCCGAUAAAGAUGUCCGCCUCCUCCACUAAACACCACCACAGGCAACCACCGUCCUCCUCCGAACUACACCGCAAUAAUCCCAACCCUAACAAUGCGGUGGCUCCUCCCGCACCUCCUUAAACAACAAUCCCCGACCUGCCACGAAUUGUUGAAACGAAGGUCUUACCAUAUGGAGCAGCUCUUGCAUUUAAUAAUAAUAAAACACAAAAGAAUAUAAAUUGGAACGCAUUGGUCAAAUGUCCCCGUCACAAUGUUCGGUAAAAACGUUGAAGGCAAGGACAAAAUGAUCAAUCCGGACAUCCUUUCCUCGCCAUCAGCGUCUUCGCCAAACGUACUAGGGUGAAUAGAGUCUAACUACCACGUCUCAACUUAACUUUUUAAAAAAUAAAUCAAUUUGUGUUUUGCUAUUGUCAUUAUAUUUACAGAUUAGUAUUAUUAUUAGUAACCGAUACUAAUAAAUUAAAAAAUAAUAAUAAAUUGAAUAGUUAAAUAAUUAAAUUUCUCAUGUAAUUAACUUGAUAAGUAUUUAAAACAUUAUUAGAUAUUUGUUUUGUUUGAGUAGAAAUUAAUUUCCUCGGCCAAUUUCCUGACUCCAUUAGAAAAUUUUAUUUACUCAUAAAUUCAACUUUGCUUUUGCGUCCGCAUCCUCUCUCUCUGUAGCUCCGCGCCUCCCCACUAGGGUUCAACCUCGCCGUCGCAUCUCUCUGAUCUGCCACCGGACAAUUUUCCUUCCUCCCUUCAGCUUUUCAAAUUCCGUAAGUGACACUCUCCUUGCCUUGAUUUUACUUCCGGAUUUCGAUUCUCUAUUCGUUUGUUUUUGGGGCCAAGUUUGAUCUUCUUCUAGUGUUCCUACUAUCCGAUUCGCGUUUUUUUUGGUUUGGUUCGCACUAUCCUGCUCGUCUGCUCUGUUCAUCAUACUUCUAAAUCUGAAUGCAUCUUUGUCGAACUAUCUAUUAGCUUGUAGUGAUUAGGUUUCGGUUCUCCAAGCCGAGUUUUUUUCUUCCUCUUUCGCCAUGAUCCGGAUUGACUACUCCUUUUAAGUUGGGGAUGUGCUUAACUUGCAGUUCAGCUAGUUUUAGUUGCGAUGUCGAUCUAUGGUUGUUGAUUUCAAUUUCAUAUUCUCAAUUUUAUAUGUGGAUGUUGGACUCAGUCAAUUUUGAUUUGGGUAAUAUUGAUAUGCUUUGUCCGCUCGAGAAAAUUGCAAGCUUUUCCAACAACUUUCAGCAGAGCUCUUUCGUUAGACUGAUCUUCACUUGAAAAUUCGUUUUUUUAAUCUCAACCACCCUAUUUGAUCGUGGGUGUGCUUAUUGAAAGGUGGGUCUUUCUCAGUUGCGAUUGGAUGGAAAAAUUUUGUUGUGUUAUUCCAGUGUUCCUACUAUCUGAUUGGCUUAUUGAAUGCUUACAAUUCAAUCUGAAUGCCUCUUUUUCGAACUGUGUACAGAUAGAUCAUGGCUAUGGAGGUGACACAGGUGCUUCUGAAUGCACAAUCGAUAGAUCGCAAUGUUCAGAAGCAAGCUGAGGAGAGCUUGAAUCAGUUCCAAGAGCAGAACCUCCCUGCUUUCUUGUUUUCUCUCUCUGGUGAGCUUGCCAAUGAAGAUAAACCUGCUGAUAGCCGCAGAUUAGCUGGUUUGAUGUUGAAAAAUGCACUGGAUGCUAAGGAGCAGCAUAGGAAGUUUGAGCUUGUUCAGAGAUGGUUGAUGUUGGAUGCUACUGUAAAGGCUCAGAUAAAAACAUGCUUGUUGAAGACACUCUCUUCUCUUGCACCUGAUGCUCGUAAACCUGCAGCUCAAGUAAUUGCCAAAGUUGCUGGAAUUGAGCUCCCCCAGAAACAGUGGCCUGAACUGAUUGGAUCCCUUUUGUCGAAUGUUCAUCAGCUACCUGCUCAUGUCAAGGAAGCAACCUUGGAGACUCUUGGGUAUCUGUGCGAGGAAGUUUCUCCGGAUGCUGUGGAUCAGGAUAACGUGAAUAAAAUCUUGACUGUUGUUGUUCAAGGAAUGAGUUCUUCCGAAGUGAAUACUGAUGUCAGACUGGCUGCUAUUCAAGCAUUAUAUAAUGCACUGAGCUUUGCUCAAGCAAAUUUCAGCAAUGACAUGGAACGUGAUUAUAUCAUGAGAGUUGUCUGUGAGGCUGCUUUGUCGAAAGAAUUGAAGAUCCGCCUAGCAGCUUUUGAAUGUUUGGUGUCUAUUGCAUCAAUGUACUAUGAGAAGUUAACUCCAUAUAUGCAAGAUAUCUUCACAAUCACAUCAAAAGCCGUGAGGGAAGAUGAAGAAGAUGUAGCUCUCCAGGCAAUUGAAUUCUGGAAUUCAAUUUGUGAUGAAGAGAUAGACAUAUUAGAAGAGUACGGGGUCGAGUUUACUGGGGACUCAGAUGCAGUUCAAUGCUCCUAUUUUGUCAAGCAGGCUUUGACUGUUCUUGUACCAAUUUUGUUGGAAACACUUUUGAAGCAAGAGGAAGACCAAGACAAAGAUGACACUGCUUGGAAUAUUGCAAUGGCAGGUGGAACAUGUCUUGGGCUUGUUGCACGUACUGUGGGAGAUGAUAUUGUUCCCCUUGUUAUGCCAUUCAUUGAAGAGAACAUAACAAAACCUGAUUGGAGGCAAAGAGAGGCAGCUACUUAUGCUUUUGGGUCAAUUUUGGAAGGUCCUUCUCCAGACAAGUUGACACCGAUUGUUAAUGUUGCUUUGAACUUCAUGUUAACAGCUUUAACAAAGGACCUGAAUACUCAUGUAAAAGAUACCACUGCCUGGACUCUUGGGCGUAUCUUUGAGUUUCUUCAUGGUUCAACGAUGGAUGCACCAAUCAUUACGCAGGCCAAUUGCCAACAAAUAAUUACUGUACUACUCCAAAGUAUGAGUGAUGCGCCAAAUGUGGCUGGGAAGGCU
RNAcentral lists this long non-coding RNA (28371 nucleotides) under Linum usitatissimum (flax). RNAcentral's name for it is "long non-coding RNA (LUSI_LNC005115)". The record is from RNAcentral. Lineage: Eukaryota; Viridiplantae; Streptophyta; Magnoliopsida; Malpighiales; Linaceae.